Molecule: ribosomal RNA, 159 nt
Filed under: uncultured Bacillus sp.
Lineage: Bacteria; Bacillati; Bacillota; Bacilli; Caryophanales; Bacillaceae
Description: partial 16S ribosomal RNA
Rfam family: Bacterial small subunit ribosomal RNA
Source: RNAcentral
AGUAGGGAAUCUUCCGCAAUGGACGAAAGUCUGACGGAGCAACGCCGCGUGAGUGAAGAAGGCCUUCGGGUCGUAAAACUCUGUUGCCGGGGAAGAACAAGUGCCGUUCGAACAGGGCGGCGCCUUGACGGUACCCGGCCAGAAAGCCACGGCUAACUA